AGCGAACGCUGGCGGCGUGCCUAACACAUGCAAGUCGAACGUGAAAAGGGAAACCUGAGUAAAGUGGCGUACGGGUGAGUAACGCGUAGGUAAUCUACCCCAGAAUCUGGAAUAACCUGCCGAAAGGCGGGCUAAUACUGGAUAGAGCGAGGGAACUCGUAAGAGAGUUUUUCGGGAAAGGGAGCCCGCAAGGGCCUUCGUUCUGGGAUGAGCCUGCGUCUCAUUAGCUAGUUGGUAAGGUAACGGCUUACCAAGGCGAUGAUGAGUAGCUGGUCUGAGAGGAUGAUCAGCCACACUGGAACUGAAACACGGUCCAGACUCCUACGGGAGGCAGCAGUGGGGAAUCGUGCGCAAUGGACGAAAGUCUGACGCAGCCACGCCGCGUGAGUGAAGAAGGCCUUCGGGUUGUAAAGCUCUGUCGGAUGGGACGAACAUCUUCAUAGUGAAUAGCUAUGAGGACUGACGGUACCAUCAAAGGAAGCACCGGCUAACUCCGUG
Molecule: ribosomal RNA, 498 nt
Filed under: uncultured bacterium
Lineage: Bacteria
Description: partial 16S ribosomal RNA
Rfam family: Bacterial small subunit ribosomal RNA
Source: RNAcentral